UGAGGAAUAUUGGGCAAUGGACGAAAGUCUGACCCAGCCAUGCCGCGUGCAGGAUGAAGGCGCUAUGCGUUGUAAACUGCUUUUAUGAGGAAAGAAACGCCUGAACGUGUUCAGGUCUGACGGUACCUCAGGAAUAAGGAUCGGCUAACUCCGUGCCAGCAGCCGCGGUAAUACGGAGGAUCCAAGCGUUAUCCGGAUUUAUUGGGUUUAAAGGGUGCGUAGGCGGAAUAAUAAGUCAGCGGUGAAAUCUCUCGGCUUAACCGAGAAACUGCCAUUGAUACUGUUAUUCUUGAGUAUAUUUGAGGUGGGCGGAAUGUGUCAUGUAGCGGUGAAAUGCUUAGAUAUGACCCAGAACGCCGAUUGCGUAGGCAGCUCACUAAACUAUAACUGACGCUGAGGC
RNAcentral lists this ribosomal RNA (400 nucleotides) under uncultured bacterium. Its description in RNAcentral is "bacterial SSU rRNA". It matches the Rfam family "Bacterial small subunit ribosomal RNA", at positions 355 to 752 of the family's 1533-position model. The record is from RNAcentral.